UAACGAAUAUUGGGCAAUGGGCGAAAGCCUGACCCAGCAAUGCCGCGUGCAGGACGAAGUCCUUCGGGAUGUAAACUGCUGUCAGGGGUCCGCAAGCGAAGGGGUCCAACAGGCCCUGGAGUUGAGCAGCCCCAGAGGAAGCCUCGACUAACUCCGUGCCAGCAGCCGCGGUAAUACGGAGGGUGCAAGCGUUGUUCGGAUUCACUGGGUAUAAAGGGUGCGUAGGCGGCGCGAUAAGUCAGGGGUGAAAUAUGUCGGCUCAACCGACAAACUGCCUCUGAAACUGCCGCGCUUGAGGUCGGGAGAGGAAGGUGGAAUUCCAGGUGUAGCGGUGAAAUGCGUAAAUAUCUGGAGGAACACCAAUGGCGAAGGCAGCCUUCUGGCCCGAUUCUGACGCUGAGGCACGAAAGCCAGGGGAGCAAACG
RNAcentral lists this ribosomal RNA (425 nucleotides) under uncultured prokaryote. RNAcentral's name for it is "bacterial SSU rRNA". It matches the Rfam family "Bacterial small subunit ribosomal RNA", at positions 355 to 774 of the family's 1533-position model. The record is from RNAcentral.